This 253-nucleotide ribosomal RNA is filed under the name uncultured bacterium. RNAcentral's name for it is "partial 16S ribosomal RNA". It matches the Rfam family "Bacterial small subunit ribosomal RNA", at positions 524 to 776 of the family's 1533-position model. The record is from RNAcentral.
UACGGAGGGUGCAAGCGUUGUUCGGAAUUACUGGGCGUAAAGGGUUCGUAGGUGGCCAGCUAAGUCAGACGUGAAAUCCCUCAGCUUAACUGAGGAACUGCGUCUGAUACUGGUUGGCUUGAGUGCAGGAGAGGAACGCGGAAUUCCAGGUGUAGCGGUGAAAUGCGUAGAUAUCUGGAGGAACACCGGUGGCGAAGGCGGCGUUCUGGACUGCAACUGACACUGAGGAACGAAAGCCAGGGGAGCAAACGGG